AUUGAACGCUGGCGGCAGGCUUAACACAUGCAAGUCGAGCGGAGCGAGGGUGCUUGCACCUUAGCUUAGCGGCGGACGGGUGAGUAAUGCUUAGGAAUCUGCCUAUUAGUGGGGGACAACAUCCCGAAAGGAAUGCUAAUACCGCAUACGCCCUACGGGGGAAAGCAGGGGAUCUUCGGACCUUGCGCUAAUAGAUGAGCCGAAGUCGGAGUAGGUAGUUGGUGGGGUAAAGGCCUACCAAGGCGACGAUCUGUAGCGGGUCUGAGAGGAUGGGCCGUCACACUGGGACUGAGGCACGGCCGAGACUACGUCGGGAGGCAUCAGUGGGGAAUAUUGGGCACUGGGCGAAAGCUUGAUCCAGCCAUGCAGCGUGUGUGAAGAAGGCCUUUUGGUUGUAAAGCACUUUAAGCGAGGAGGAGGCUACUUAGAUUAAUACUCUGGGAUAGUGGACGUUACUCGCAGAAUAAGCACCGGCUAACUCUGUGCCAGCAGCCGCGGUAA
Molecule: ribosomal RNA, 501 nt
Filed under: uncultured bacterium
Lineage: Bacteria
Description: partial 16S ribosomal RNA
Rfam family: Bacterial small subunit ribosomal RNA
Source: RNAcentral